RNAcentral lists this long non-coding RNA (1917 nucleotides) under Spirodela polyrhiza (greater duckweed). Its description in RNAcentral is "long non-coding RNA (SPOL_LNC002609)". Lineage: Eukaryota; Viridiplantae; Streptophyta; Magnoliopsida; Alismatales; Araceae. The record is from RNAcentral.
ACGGCUGCUGUUGGAAUGGAGGCCUUUCCAGGGGAGAUGGAGGUCCGUCAUAGCCUGGUACUUCAUUCUUCUCCUCCUACUUUCUCGGCAUUUCGAGUAUGGCCUCAUCAGUUCAUCAGUCAUCACUGUCUGGAUAUCUUCUUGACGCCUUCCUGCAAUACAGCUGUCAUUUCUUGCCAGACCCAUCCCUGCAUAUUCUGUGGUCCGCCAUUUCUGAGCUUGCAGGGGGGGGGGGGGGUGGCGUCUCCUUGGAGGUCUCAGCGAGUGUGGGUGAACCUCCUGUGCGCCUCUUUGGGAACCCCUUGUUCCCACUCUCAUCCAGUCGACCCAUCAGAGAAAAUGCAGCGCUGGCUACACAUCUCCUGUAGACCUUUUCUGCGCAUGAUAUUUCCCUUUGACAAAGGGCUUUGGAGAGUUUUGGGACGGUCAGCUGCUUCUUCCAUUCGGGGUUCAAUCCUCGAGGGGAUUAACCAAGCGAUCUCAAUUUCGGAAGCUAAGGACAGACUGGUAGAACGAACCCACUAGUGCUGUGAAACAUUAGUUGCAGCAUUUUGGGCUAAUCAUAGGUUCCCAGUAGAUUGCUUUUCUUUUUCCGUAGUUUGAUCCUUGCCAGAACAGCUCUCAACGGGUGGGGCUGACGAUCAAUUUGAUAUUUGCUUGUUUUGAAAUGGGUAAUUUGAUGGGUAAAGCAGAAACUUAUUUUGACGUGCUGCGGUCAAAACCCGCCCACGCCAUGGAUCCUCCAACCUUGGAGCUCUGGUGAUGGGUUCCUCUUCCCGUCCAUUUGCUGAGUAAAAGUCUGUUCUUCGUCCACCGCGGAUAAUUUUUUCGCCUCGGGGGUGUCUGUCAUCAGAGACGAACACCCCUGCUGGUUCCAAGGUUGGACGCAGCGAUGGUCUGGCCAGGGCGUCUCCUUUGCUUUCUGGAGGGAUUGCCUUCCUACUUGACCGGAGCGUUCUGCACCAGCUGUCGUCUCCUAGGGACCUCUGCCUCCAUCGCGAGCUCUUCUGGACUCCGAUUCACCCUCACACCAUCUUCAUCGCCUUGUUCUCAGCUUGGAGUUGAUGCCUAGGAAUAUUUUGACAAGGUAGAAUAUGGCAGACAACACGGAGUGUGGAAAUAUUUUUGACAUAAAUGUAGGUCGGAUCAAGAAAUACUGUCGCUGUGGGAUCGGGGGAACAUGGCAACCCCAUGGAUCGGCCAGGGGGCCUGGUUGUCAGCUGGGAAGCCUCUCUGUCUGUGCUUGGAUCGUUCCUCUCUUCUAGUUUACUCCCAUUCAGUAUUCGAUGGGCACACCAUGUCUGAGGCUGCUUGCCACGUUCUCUGUCGCCUACAUUUGGGCAGCAUUCUGCUGCAUGCCGUUCGUGGCUCGGCGAUGCUUUCUGCUGUUCUUGUAGAUCAAAGUUGGGAGUCUUUCGUUGUUUUCUGGGCAUUGUGAGGUCCGAAUGCUUAUCCUAUUUGGAUGUUUGUCAGCUGAAUUCAGAAAUCCGUGUGCCCGUUUUUCCAUGAUCACUGUUUGCAGCUUCCUCGGGGAAGGCCGGAGAUUAGAAUCGCGGAUACUAAUCGUGCUUCUUGUUCUUGUCCGGCUGAUUGCUCAGGUUCAGCGGUGAGAUGAGCGCCCACCGGGCGAGCAUCCCUGUUGGGGGGGAGAUGGCGACGUUGACCUGGCUCGAUCCGGUGGCGGACGCGCCCGUUUAGACGGAGUUGGUCUUGGGGAAUGGAGCCACUGGUCCGCGGGAGCGCACAUCACAUUCUUGUGUCUUGUGGGCAGCUGUUCAUCAACCGUCUUUUUGCUCUCUAGGGAAUUCAUAUUUUUCUUUUCAUUUUUUCGUUCCCUUACUGUUCCUGCACUCUGGCGGACAUCUCUACCUUGAUUCUUUUCUGAAUGCGAUCUCGCUCUUCACCAAGGUCUCUCUC